Molecule: ribosomal RNA, 398 nt
Filed under: uncultured bacterium
Lineage: Bacteria
Description: bacterial SSU rRNA
Rfam family: Bacterial small subunit ribosomal RNA
Source: RNAcentral
GGGUGAGUAAUAUAUCGGAACGUGCCCAGUCGUGGGGGAUAACGUAGCGAAAGCUACGCUAAUACCGCAUACGAUCUAUGGAUGAAAGCGGGGGAUCGCAAGACCUCGCGCGAUUGGAGCGGCCGAUAUCAGAUUAGGUAGUUGGUGAGGUAAAGGCUCACCAAGCCGACGAUCUGUAGCUGGUCUGAGAGGACGACCAGCCACACUGGGACUGAGACACGGCCCAGACUCCUACGGGAGGCAGCAGUGGGGAAUUUUGGACAAUGGGCGCAAGCCUGAUCCAGCAAUGCCGCGUGCAGGAUGAAGGCCUUCGGGUUGUAAACUGCUUUUGUACGGAGCGAAAAGGCUUCCACUAAUGCUGGGGGCUCAUGACGGUACCGUAAGAAUAAGCACCGGCU